AUCAUUCACAAUGGACGAAAGUCUGAUGGUGCAACGCCGCGUGGAGGAUGAAGGCCCUAGGGUCGUAAACUCCUGUCAUAUGAGAGUAAGGCAUAUGUGUUAAUAGCAUGUAUGUUUGAUAGUAUCAUAAGAGGAAGGGACGGCUAACUUCGUGCCAGCAGCCGCGGUAAUACGAAGGUCCCGAGCGUUGUUCGGAAUCACUGGGCGUAAAGGGAGCGUAGGCGGCAUGGUAAGUCAGAUGUGAAAUCCCGGGGCUCAACCCCGGAACUGCAUCCGAUACUGCCUUGCUAGAGUAAUGGAGGGGUAACUGGAAUUCUCGGUGUAGCAGUGAAAUGCGUAGAUAUCGAGAGGAAGACCAACGGCGAAGGCAGGUUACUGGACAUUUACUGACGCUGAGGCUCGAAGGCCAGGGGAGCGAAAGGGAUUAGAUACCCCUGUAGUCCUGGCAGUAAACGGUGUGCGCUUGGUGUAGGUGGGUUCGACCCCAUCUGUGCCGGAGCUAACGCGUUAAGCGCACCGCCUGGGGAGUACGGUCGCAAGACUAAAACUCAAAGAAAUUGACGGGGACCCGCACAAGCGGUGGAGUAUGUGGCUUAAUUCGAUGCAACGCGAAGAACCUUACCUGGGCUUGACAUGCAUUGCUAAUUCGGUGAAAGCCGAUGAGUCUUCGGACGCCUUGCACAGGUGCUGCAUGGCCGUCGUCAGCUCGUGUCGUGAGAUGUUCGGUUAAGUCCGGCAACGAGCGCAACCCCUGUGGUUAGUUACUAACAUUAAGUUGAGGACUCUAGCCAGACUGCCCAGAUCAACUGGGAGGAAGGUGGGGAUGACGUCAGGUCAGUAUGGCCCUUACGCCCAGGGCUGCACACGUACUACAAUGCCCAGUACAAUGAGAACCGAGACCGCGAGGUGGAGGAAAUCUACAAAACUGGGCUCAGUUCGGAUUGGAGGCUGCAACUCGCCUCCAUGAAGUUGGAAUCGCUAGUAAUGGCACAUCAGCUACGGUGCCGUGAAUACGUUCCCGGGUCUUGUACACACCGCCCGUCACAUCAUGGAAGCCGAUCGCACCCGAAGUGCCUGCGUCAACAUUGGCAGGGCCCUAAGGUGUAGUUGGUAACUGGGAUGAAGUCGUAACAAGGUAGCCGUAGGGGAACCUGCGGCUGGAUCACCUCCUUU
RNAcentral lists this non-coding RNA (1173 nucleotides) under Rubritalea squalenifaciens DSM 18772. Its description in RNAcentral is "Bacterial small subunit ribosomal RNA". It matches the Rfam family "Bacterial small subunit ribosomal RNA", at positions 361 to 1533 of the family's 1533-position model. Lineage: Bacteria; Pseudomonadati; Verrucomicrobiota; Verrucomicrobiia; Verrucomicrobiales; Rubritaleaceae. The record is from Rfam by way of RNAcentral.